UAAGGAAUAUUGGUCAAUGGACGCAAGUCUGAACCAGCCAUGCCGCGUGAAGGAUGAAGGUCCUCUGGAUUGUAAACAUCUUUUAUCUGGGACGAAAACGGGAUUUUUAUCUCAAUUGACGGUACCAGAGGAGUAAGCACCGGCUAACUCCGUGCCAGCAGCCGCGGUAAUACGGAGGGUGCGAGCGUUAUCCGGAUUUACUGGGUUUAAAGGGUGCGUAGGUGGGCUUAUAAGUCAGUGGUGAAAUCUCCGAGCUUAACUUGGAAACGGCCGUUGAUACUAUAGGUCUUGAAUUAUCUGGAGGUAAGCGGAAUAUGUCAUGUAGCGGUGAAAUGCUUAGAUAUGACAUAGAACACCAAUUGCGAAGGCAGCUUACUACAUAUAAAUUGACGCUGAGGCACGAAAGCGUGGGGAUC
This 416-nucleotide ribosomal RNA is filed under the name uncultured bacterium. RNAcentral describes it as "bacterial SSU rRNA". It matches the Rfam family "Bacterial small subunit ribosomal RNA", at positions 355 to 769 of the family's 1533-position model. The record is from RNAcentral.